CUUAAAAAUAGUGGCAAACGGGUGAGUAACACGUAGGUAACUUGCCCCUAAGUUUGGGAUAACUUCGGGAAACCGGGGCUAAUACCGGAUGUGGUGCGUGGAUUAUGUCCAUUCACUAAAGCCUUAGGGCGCUUGGGGAGAGGCCUGCGUCCGAUUAGCUUGUUGGUGGGGUAAUGGCUCACCAAGGCUAAGAUCGGUAGCUGAUCUGAGAGGACGGUCAGCCACACUGGGACUGAGACACGGCCCAG
RNAcentral lists this ribosomal RNA (248 nucleotides) under uncultured bacterium. RNAcentral's name for it is "partial 16S ribosomal RNA". It matches the Rfam family "Bacterial small subunit ribosomal RNA", at positions 85 to 334 of the family's 1533-position model. The record is from RNAcentral.